AAAAUUACCUUCUUGAAGUACAUCCCAUCUCAGUUAGGAUUAAUUUCAGAAAAAGUGCUAUAAUUGAAAAUCGGAGUAAAACUACUGGUAUACAAGUCGUCCGCAGAAAAUAAAAUAAACAUUGUAAAACCGAUACAUUGGUUGGCUCCGCUCAGAAUUUAAAAUAUUAAACACGACAACGGUUAUUUCGGAUGUCAGACCGUCAGGUGUAACACCGCGCUUUAUACAAUUUUGUUCCGUCUAUACACAUAAUAUUAUGACUCCCUUGUCUGACCAUAUACGCGUGACGGUAUUGUUUCGAAAUAAAAAAAAAAAAAAAAAAAAACAGUAAUUAUAUAGUCCCGUGUCGUUGUAUUAUACCCGAAACGCUGAUAAUAAGUAUAUAAUAAUGUAGCGACGGCGGUGAUAAUGUUAUGCGAGUGCGAUAAUAUACGAUUUACUACGCGUGUAAGUAUUUUAAUACGGGGACGGCGCGGCAUAGUCUCUCGGGAGAAAGACGUCGUUGUCGAUAAUAAAUAAUAUUAGAGAUAAAAAAAAAAAAAAAAAAAAAUCCCGUCCGUUAGAACGCGUAUUAUUAUUAUUAUUAUUAUUGUAUACGUCGCGGAGUUUGAACACAUAUUUUUUUGUUCCUCGCGAUGCGUCGUUUUUUUUUUUGUGAGAGAAGAAAAAAUGGAAAAUGCCGCGAUAUCUCGACUAGCGCAGUAUAUCUUAAAAAUGUAUCUCGCGUCUUCGUGUAGCCAUACAAUAAUAACGACAUGUUUACCCCCCCCCCCCUCAUUUCGUGAUAC
This is a non-coding RNA of Cinara cedri, 788 nucleotides long. The record is from the annotation of a GenBank genome assembly. Lineage: Eukaryota; Metazoa; Arthropoda; Insecta; Hemiptera; Aphididae.